CUAUAUAUUUUCUCUAUCUAAUAAGGGUUUUCAAAAGGAAACUUCUUGUUCUCCGCCGCUGCAUCCAGUGUUCUUCUAAGAUGUUGAAGAAGACAAGGUUCCUAACUGGCGGAUGAUUUUUAUUUUUCUCUAGGUGAUCAACACUCGAGGUCCUAUGUGGUGUGUAUCGUUGGCAAUCAACUUUUAGAAGUAAGACUCAUAACUCUGUGUCCUUUUUGUUAUACAUCUUUAUGUUCUUAUAAGAGGAUAAAUGUAGCUUUGUGUUCCUUUUGUGAAGAUGUGUUAUCAAAUUUGUCUACCUAAUGAAUAUUAUGAUUAAGCAAAGAUUUAUAUGUGAUCUCAAAGACUUUGUCAUUUCUCUGAUGCAGCCAGAACUCGAUUGGAUAAUUUAUCUUAAUAUGAUUAUGUAGAUUCAAUUGAAGAAGUUAAUCUUUUUUCACAAUUGAUUUAAGUAUUUCCUAAAGCAUGAACUGACCAUCAAGUUAAGUGAAAAUGGAUCAUGAUAAUUCUCAAAAGAGGUAAGUCACAUGUUUAUUUAAUUAUAUUUCAAAUUAUUCUCAUAAAUUUAAGAGUUUCUUGAUUGAUCUAAACUUUUUGGAGACUCAAUUAUAUCGAUCUAUAUAAUUGAAGCAUAUAUGAAGAAAUUUGACAAGUGAAAAAUAAGAAAAAUCAAUAUUAACUAUGUAGGUCAUAAAAUUAAAAAGAUAGUAUUGAAUAUUAGACAACACAAAAAAAAUGAGAUGGUAGAAGGGGAAAAAGUAUUCAAAACUGUGCUUAAAUUAUGAUUAGGGUUUCAACAAUUUGGAUAAUUAUAAAUACUUACAUUAUGAAAUAUAGUUAGACCUUUCUAUGACAAUAACUCUACAACAACAUUUUACUUUAAUAACCAAGUUUUAUUUGGAAUCAAUAUUUUCUGGUCUAAAAUUGAAAAUUAUAUUCGACUAAAUGUGAUAUUUACAAAACUAUGGUUCAUUUGGACUCUGAAACUAGGCCUCCGAAGUAUUAUAGCAACUUAUCUAGAUAGUACAAUGUAUAAUUUUCAAAAUAACAUAGUUAUUUAACUUUGCCAAAUAUCCUUUUAUUAUAGUUUGAUUUUGAGCUAUAGUUGUUGGGUAUUUGUAUCUUAAAUAAAAUCCACUCCUAAUUAUGCAUAAAGAUAAUAUUUUCAACAUAAAUAUUUUUGUAUAUCAUCAACUAAUAAAAAUCUAAGAAAUUUGUUAAUAAUAUAUAGUCUCAUAGUUUCCGCCAUUGGCAACUUAAGAAGUUUGAUAAAAGUAUUCAAGAUUUAGUACAUAACUAGUAGUAAUAUUCGUUUAUGUAAUAUAAUUUUAUAUUCUCCUUUAUAGCCAAAUUUUUAUAUGAUGAAUGUAUUGACAACCUUUAAACAUGUCAAUAAAUUUUAUUUAAACACUCAAAUUAUAGAUUAUCCCGAUUAAGCGUCUUAACAAAAACUUCUUACUCAAACUUUUGAAAAGCUUCGGCUCAUAUUCUCAAACUCUCAUUAUGUUGAUAAGUUAACCAAAUAAAAUAUGUCAUACAUCAAUCUAAAUUGGAGCAUGAGUUGGGUUGUUUGGUUACUGUGACUAAUAUAUAUAACUAAAUAAGUUCUCUAUGUAGUUGGUACUUGGGAACACGCACAGAAGCAUUUUCAACAUUUAUAUAAAAAAUGUCAAACGAAAAUACUUUAUCAUUUGUUCAGAUGUAUAGAAAUUCAAAUGUUUAACAAUUAAAAUAGUUAACAAUAGAGUGUAUAAUUAAUAGAGUACAUCUCUACGAUAAGCAUUAAAAUAAAAUAAAUGACCAAAAAAAUCAAGAUUGAUAUAGUAGUGUCAAUCAAGUGACCAAUUGAGAUAGUGUCAAUAGCAAAAGACGCACCUUUCUUUAGUGCAGAGCCGGGUUCAUGAUUGCGGAUUGCGCAGACUGACUUCUCCUAAUGGCAUAUAGAAACGUGGUAGGGGAGGUUAGCUCAGGGAAGGAAGCUAAGUAAGGGCGAGCUGAGAUAGUGUCAAUAGCAAAAGGACAUACAUCUAAGCAAGAAAAUAUUCAUAUUAAAUAAAUAUGAAGUAGAAGAACCUAAAUUCCAAAUGAACAAAUUCAAACAUUAAAAUGAUCUUCCUUAUUCUCGAAGAAUGAGAGGCAAAUAGAUUGACCAAGAAAGAUCUUUUGUUAUUCUUAUAUAUAAAAUUGUAAUUGGAUCUGCAUAUAUUUGGUAAAGCACAUAAUCUUCUACUUUGAAAAUUAUAUUUAAAAAAUGGGCAGUAUUCAAUUGGAACAUGAAACGUGAGUAAAUUGGUCUGAGUUACUUUUUGGGGCAGCGUAGAAGAAGGAGGAUCCUCAAACGCGAAAAGGAUCCAAUGAAUCUGAAAGAAUUGAACAAGGAGUUGUUUGAGGUGAAAAUCUCAUGUAGGAUUGUGUAGAGUGGCAGUAAGGGUGACUUGUCUGACAACUUUUUCACUAUCACCCCAAAAAAACAAACUUUGUCUUACGUGAAGUUGUCAAAGUACGAUUAACCUCUGAAUUUGAAAUCACUACUUAUGUUUUUGGUAUUAGCCAUAAUUCACAAGAAUAUUAUGUAGUCUUAGUAAGUAGGGGAAGGAUUAAGAAUUUGCCUGGUGAGAAAUAUCACAUGGUUCGAGGAACCCUAGAUGUUGUCGGAGUCAAAUUUUUAUCGGCCUUAUCCUCAACAACUACUGAAAAUUCUUCCACACAAACAAAUCAAAAAAUGGCAUUCAAGACAUAGUGCAUAUCACUUAAACACUAUCGUUCACAAUAUUGAAUUGUUUGUCUUUCGAAUUUAUAUUGCACUGGAAUAAAUAAUAAAGUAUUUAUAAUAAACAUUUCUAGCAUAAAUAUUGAUAAAGCUUUUGCGUGUGUUCUCAAGUGCCAAUUAUGUAAGUAAGUUAUCCUGUUAAAAUGUUAUCUUCUUUAAUUAUAUACAUUAGCCACAAUAAGCCGUAAAACCUCAUUCAAGUUUCAAUUAGGCUGAUGAGUGACAUGUUUAACGUGGUUAACUAAUUUAUAUAAUGAGAGCUUGAGAAAAUACCUUGACGUUUUUCAAAAAUUUGAAUAAGAAUUUUUUGUUUAGAUGCUCAAUCGAGAAAAGCUAUAAUCCGAUUGUCUAAAUUAAAUUUAUCGAUAAGUUUAAAGGUUGGUAAUAUAUUUCAUCUUAUAAUAGUUAAGCUAUAAUCAAUAAAGGAUAGUUAGAUAAACAUAAAUAUUGUAUGGUAUACAUUUAAAUAGAAUAUUACUCUUUAUAUACUAAAACUUUUUGAAUACUUUAAUCAAAAUUCUAGAGUUGCCAAUAACAGAAACUAUAUAUUAUAAAUAAUUUUUAAAGUCUUUAAUAGUUAAAUUAUAUAUAAAAUAAUUAUAUUAAAAAUAGGUUUUUUGCAUAAUUAGGGAAAGAAGUUUGUGUAAGAUACAAAAUAUUUUUAUAGUAUGAUUUUUGAGAUAUAAUCAGGUGGACCUUAGCUUCUGGCAAGUGAGUGUCGCAGGAGCAAUAUUGCACCUGUGAGUGUAUUCUCCUUCGGCGAGUUUGAAGCUAAAUUGAAUUAUAUUAAUUUAAUAUUUUAAAAUAGAAUUUAGAUAUUUAAAAAAUAUACAGAAAUAAUAUAAGGUGCAAUUAUUUUCAUAUCAAUAUGGUGAAAAAAACGCAUUUUAAACAUUAGUCAAAGUUUAUGUUGGUGUGUAUAUAUCAUAAAUUACAAUAAAUUAUCAUUGAAAAUAAAAUGACAAAAAUGAAUAAAAAGUAUUCAGGUUGUAUGUAUGAUGGGCAUUAUAGAAGAGAUUUAUUGUAUUCAUAACUAAUGUUUAAGAAAUAUUACUGCUAUAUGGUCAUUGGGCAAAGUGGGGGAAAUAUAAGAAUGAUAUCUUAGCCCAAGUUUACUUGUGACCCAAGAAAGUCAUAAGAAACAUUUAAAGAAGAAUAAAUCUCGUCCGUACAUCAGUUACUUGAUGGAUGUACCAGAUUAAGUCGUAACCUCUAUAAAUUGAUUUCUACCUCUACCCAUUAGGGUUAUCAUAUAUUCUCUACAUUAAUUUUCAUCGCUGACGGAUGUGGAUGAAAAUAAUGUAGAGAGUAUGUGUUAACCCUAAUGGGUGGAGGGAGGACCAAUUUAUAGAGGUAAAAAUUUUAUCUGGUACAUCCAUCAAGUAACCGAUGUACGGAUGAGAUCUAUUCAUCAUUUAAUGUUAUUUAUGAUUUUCUUGGGUUACAAGUAAACUUGGGCCAUAAGUAAGAUAUUAUUAUUACAUUUCUCCAUCUGGAAUGACCAUAUAACAUUAAUAUUGCAUAACAUUAGUUAUACGCAUAUAAUAAAUCUCUUCUAUAAUGUCCAUCAUACAUACCACAAUAUGACAAACUACUAAUGCAAGUUAUGGAGGUUUGUACAUAAUUUUAUGUUAUAUACUUCCCUCCAUAUACUACUACUACAUAAGCAACGUAUUAUACUAGAUUCAUAAGCUAUAAAACAUAUAGCAUUAUGGUCCACAAUAAUGUCUCAUACAAAGUUAUCUUGUAAUAUCUCAAAACAAUAAUGUGUACAUCAUUAUGAGAAACAAGAGAUUCAUUAAUGUAUAUCAGAAACACAUAUUUGAGCUCAGAGUCUCAAAACAUUAUAAAUAUAUCAAUCAUAAGUACAACCAAGACCUAUUCUUUGAACAUGUUCCUUAAAUGUCUUUGGGUGUAAGCCCUUUGUUAAAGGAUCUGCAAUCAUAAGAUCACUUCUAAUAUUCUCAAAUAACACUCUUUGUUUUUUAACUUCUAAAGUACUUUAAUUUCAUAUGUUUGGCACCUUUAGAGCACUUUUCGUUCUUGGAGAAGAAUAUUGUUGCAAUAUUAUAACAAUAAUUUUUUAGCAGCUUGGUAAUGGCGUCCACAACCCCAAGUCUUGAAAUAAAGUUCAACAGCCAUAAUGCAUGAAUUGUGGCUUCAUAACAUGCCAUAAAUUCUUCUUCCAAAGUGGAUGGAGCAAUGAUAGAUUUUUUAGCACACUUCCAUGAUACUGAUCAUUCAACUAAUAAGAACAAGUAACCAAAUGUGAACUUUCUAGUGUCAGCACAUCUAGAAAAAUUUGAAUCCGAAUGUACAGUAACUUCUAAGUGAUUGGAUCUCCUAUACAUGAGCAUGUAAUCCUUUGUUCCUUUAAGAUACCUCUAGACUUUCUUUGCAGCUUCCCAGUGAUCAAUUUCGGGGUUAUUUUGAUAUCUUCCUAGCAUUCCGAUUGCAAAACUAAAAUUCGAUCUUGUGCAAGUUUGAACAUACAUCAAACUUCCAACAAUAGAAGAGUGAGAAAUCGAUUUUAUUUUCUUCCAUUCUACAUCAUUCUUUGGGCAUUGCAUGAGAUUAAAUUUUUCCCCUUUUGAAUAGGAGCAAUUCCUGCUAAACAAUUGUUUAUGUUAAAUCUCUAUAGAACUCUUUCGAUCUAGCCUUUUUGAGACAGUCCCAAUAACUCUUGUGAUCUUUCACGAAAUAUUUCUAUCCAUAUAAUAUAUGAUGCCUCACCCUUAUCUUUCAUUUCAAAGUUCACAGAGAGAAAGUCUUUCAUCUCAAACAAUAUGUCUAAAUCAUUAGCAACAAGUAAAAUGUCAUCCACAUACGGGACUAAAAAUAUAAACUUACUCCACUGAUCUUUUGGUAUAUUCAACGAUCAUAGGUAAUCUUCUCAAAUUCAAAAGAUGUUAUGGUAUCAUUAAAAUAUAUAUACCACUAUCGUGAGGCUUGCUUGAGUCUAUAUGUUGGCUUCUUUAGCUUACACACCAUUUGAUCUUUUCCUUUAAUAUCGAAACCCUCUAGUUGGUUGGAAGAACCUAGUCGGUCAUUUUUGGAAAGUUUCGUGAAUCUACCAUUUUACCCUCCCGAUAUCGACCCCGAGUAUUUUAUGAUUAAGUUUGAAAAUUUAGUUUUGAACUUUGAGUUAAAAAUUGAGAAUUUGGUAGGUUUGUGAGUUUUAAAGGCUAAGUUGUUAAGGAAGUGAUUUUGGGGAUCUUUUGGAGUUUCAAGUGUCGAAAUAGAAUUCUGUUGAUUUCAUCAAUCACAAAAUGUGGAAUCUGAGCAGAGGGAGUUGUCGAUUUCAAUUUUUGAGUUUUUUUAAGGAUUUGAGGUCUUUAGUUGUGAAAUUGUGGAAAUUUAGCCUUUUGGUUGAUUUUAGACAAUAUUUAGGGUUCGAAUGCUUGGAUCAAAAUUCCAAGAGUUCCGUUGGAUUUGGGGAUGAUUUUAGGCCUAGGUGAGGUCUUGGUUGAUUUUUGAGAGAUUCCGAGCUUGUUUUAGCCUUUUUAGGCGUGAGUUUGUUUCUUGUGGUUUUUACGGAUGUCAGGUCAAGAAAACCUCGGAAUCAUGUUUUGAGAGUUCCAUUAAGUCUGUAACAUCGAGUAUAAUUGAUUUGCAUAUCUAAUUUGUGUGUACGGAGUUCCGAACGAAUUCCGAGUGUCCUUUCGAUGUUUUGGGAGUUGGUUGUGUUUUCUGAUGCAGCAGGCCUCGCUUUUGCGAAGGUCCUGUUGCUUAAACAACCUCCUCUUAAGUGAAGGACAUGUCGCUUAAGCGAGCUUCGCUUUUGCAAAGGGGUCUUUGCUUUUGCGAUGCUCGUGCUUAAGCGAGCUUCGCUUUUGCGAAGGGGUCUCCGCUUAAGUAAAGGACAUGUCGCUUAAUGAUCUUUCCUCAAUUAGUGUAGAAUUCACAUUAUCUGUCUUUUAUCAAAACUUUAUUGUGUGCUUAUUAGGAGGAGGGGUAGGGGUGGGAGUGGGGGAUAAAUCACAAAUUUUAAAAGUAUUAAUUUCUUUUUUGAAUUUUGUACACUAUCAAACAUAGUCACAUGAUGGACAAGUACAUUCUAAUAGGAAAAUGAUUGAACAUACAGUACCAUCUCCAUAAUUCUGAUUUUAUCAUUGAUGAAUUGAAAAUAAAGGCAAAAAAAAAUAAUCUUACAUCUUUGAAAUUAUGUUGGCUCCUUCUACAUUUUUAAAAGUCAUCUUGUAGACAAUUUUUUGAAAUUUUUCCAUUGCCAAUGGAGGCAAACUUAUUGCUACUAAAAUACCCUUUUCUCCCUUUUCAUUAUUAACAGGAAUUCCAAUGCUAAUGUAAGAUAUAG
RNAcentral lists this long non-coding RNA (7085 nucleotides) under Solanum tuberosum (potato). Its description in RNAcentral is "long non-coding RNA (STUB_LNC007912)". Lineage: Eukaryota; Viridiplantae; Streptophyta; Magnoliopsida; Solanales; Solanaceae. The record is from RNAcentral.